CGUAGUGGGGACAGUUUCUCUAAUGGGUAUGCUUUCUUGGGUGAAAACAAGGGUGAAGAGUUCUUCCUUUGAGAGGAAGUAAGGGAGGGCUGGGCGGAGCCAUUCCUGGUUACUAAGGGGGAGGCAGCAUUACGGUUUUCAUAGAAACCGGGGUCAUUAUGGCGACUCUUUUCAAAUGGCGACCUGACGAUGUCCUGGAAAGGAGCAUUCAGUUCCUGGUGUUUGGACUGAGUUGAGCUUAUGGAUUCCCGGAGGCAAAGAAGGUCUCACCCAAGCCUCAUUUAAGAGAUUCACUGGGAGGGAAGAGUCCAGGAGGUGGCUGACCCUGCAAGAGUGGGAAAGGCAGCUCCCAACUGAACAGGAUCAGGGUGUGCUGCUUUGGACAGAAAGGGGUGUUGUUUCCCCUAGAAACAGAUAUGCAGUCC
This is a long non-coding RNA of Microtus oregoni (creeping vole), 425 nucleotides long. RefSeq lists it as uncharacterized. The transcript has 3 exons. Lineage: Eukaryota; Metazoa; Chordata; Mammalia; Rodentia; Cricetidae. The record is from RefSeq and is a predicted model, not a curated record.